RNAcentral lists this transfer RNA (82 nucleotides) under Terfezia boudieri ATCC MYA-4762. It matches the Rfam family "tRNA". From Rfam's summary of the family: Transfer RNA (tRNA) molecules are approximately 80 nucleotides in length. Their secondary structure includes four short double-helical elements and three loops (D, anti-codon, and T loops). The record is from Rfam by way of RNAcentral. Lineage: Eukaryota; Fungi; Ascomycota; Pezizomycetes; Pezizales; Pezizaceae.
UCCGUCGUGGUGUAGUGGCUAGCAUUUGAGACUCUCAUCUUUGAGAACUCUCAGAACCCGGGUUCAAUUCCCGGCGACGGAA